Molecule: small RNA, 304 nt
Filed under: Pongo abelii (Sumatran orangutan)
Lineage: Eukaryota; Metazoa; Chordata; Mammalia; Primates; Hominidae
Description: processed transcript
Source: RNAcentral
CAUUGUGCAUCAAGCUGGAAUGUUGAAGCGAAAUUGUUUUGCCUCUGUCUUUGAAAAGUACUUCCAAUUCCAAGAAGAGGGCAAGGAAGGAGAGAACAGAGCAGUUAUCCAUUAUAGGGAUGAUGAGACCAUGUAUGUUGAGUCUAAAAAGGACAGAGUCACGGUAGUCUUCAGCACAGUGUUUAAGGAUGACGACGAUGUGGUCAUUGGAAAGGUGUUCAUGCAGGUAUGGAGCAGACAUCUUGGGGGAAAACCAUGCAUGGCGACUUACAUCUUUGCACCCAAACAUACCAUGAGUGUAGGA